This 201-nucleotide long non-coding RNA is filed under the name Mytilus galloprovincialis (Mediterranean mussel). The record is from RNAcentral. Lineage: Eukaryota; Metazoa; Mollusca; Bivalvia; Mytilida; Mytilidae.
UUAACAGGUACAAAAAAUGCACAGCUGUGUCAUGAUUUGCGAAAUCUGUGCUGAAAACAUAGGCAUUGAUGGUGUUUGAGUAAUUCCAUCUGUGAAGCUCAACAUUAGCUCGACAGUUGGUGGUGGACAGUUAUAAAUCCUUUCUGCAGGAUGAAUGACUUGUCAGGAAAACCAAUUUCACAAAUCAAAACUUUCCUCUAG